RNAcentral lists this ribosomal RNA (3549 nucleotides) under Phacus salinus. RNAcentral describes it as "partial small subunit ribosomal RNA". The stretch from base 2123 to 3549 matches the Rfam family "Eukaryotic small subunit ribosomal RNA", at positions 1 to 1635 of the family's 1831-position model. Lineage: Eukaryota; Euglenozoa; Euglenophyceae; Euglenales; Phacaceae. The record is from RNAcentral.
UGCGAUAAGUGUGGACAGCGCUACGCUUCGUACCAGCGCUCGCUUGGAUAUCCUCCGAAACUCAGAGGCUAAUACACGAUCGAUACGGUCUGCCGCGACAAUGUGGUUGUCCUUCCCGAUUUGGAACAGGAAACUCUCCGCCUACGGGUGCGAGUCUGUCUCUCUGUUUUCCAUUCCGGAUAAGGUUUCCACAUAACACGGCGCUUGUCAGCGAUCCUUCCAAGGCCGCUUGGCACUUUUCUCCAAAAAGUCGCCGGUGGUGGAUUGCGCCCGGUCGCUUCUCGAAGACCAGCGUCUGGAACAAGGCAGUGUGUCAAGGCUGACUCAGACCGGUCCCUGAUCUGGUUUGGCGAAGAAGAGAUGGAUCUCAAUGCGAUUAAACCGAGAUCAAUGCGAUUAAACCGAGACGAGACAACAAGGAAGAGAAGGGACGUGUACGAACGCCGUGUCUGCCCGUCUUUCUCUCUGCCUUUCUUCUUCUUGUGCGGCUGUGUGGUGGAAUGAUUGUACCUGGAAUGAAUCAAGUGGUAAAUCGACAACGUUCCUAUUGUUGAUUGGAAAACUGUGCGCGCCAACAACAACAAGGGACAGCAAUUAUCGCCAGCAGGCAGCAGGGCUGAAGAAUGAAGAGAUGAAGGACUGGUUUGUUGCAGAGCGAAGAAACCGUGUGGUUUGUCCCAGCAAAAAAAAGCAGAGCAUCGUUGUUGUCGUCGCCAUCGGUUGUGUUGUUCGAAGAAAAGAGGCUAAUAUGCUGUUAUGACGCGACGGAUUGUUGCUGUGGAAAAUUCCGUCGUCGUCGUCGGGAGAAAGAGCUGGCAAACUCCCACACCACCAGGAACUGUUGUUGCGAUUAUUUGCUAUGCUUGUGGAUGAGACUCAUCGCCAAAGAAAAAAGGGACGGUCGCGCUGGCUGAAUCUAAAAAGUACGGGAUCGUUUCUACAGCGGUUACCGGCUUUUCUUUCUGCUUGAUCGCACGGACUUCUGACCUAUCAGCUUUUGAUUGUGGUGUCGUGGACCACAAUGGCAGUAACGGGUAACGGAGAAUCAGGGUUCGAUUCCGGAGAGGGAGCCUGAGAAACGGCUACCACUGCCAAGGCGGGCAGCAGGCACGCAAAUUGCCCAAUGUUAACUCGAUUCUGACGAGGCAGCGACGAACUGCAGCAAUCCUGUCGGUCUAUUCGACCGGUGGGUUUUGGAAUGGAUGCUAUCCAAACACAGUGAUGAGUAUCGACUGGAAGGCAAGUCUGGUGCCAGCAGCUGCGGUAAUUCCAGCUCCAAGAGUGUACACUAACAUUGUUGCGGUUAAAACGCCUGUAGUCGGACGCUGGGCGUGUGGUCUGCAAGGUCGAAUCGCGCGAAUUGGACUGUUCCAUUCACGGGUUUUCUUCGCUGAGGGAUUACAGCUUGUCUGUCUUGUCUAACAGGAAGAUUGUCCCGCUGUUCGGAAGGUUCUUUUUCUCGUUGGAUUCCUUCCAAGCCUUGCAGUACGUUCCCACGCCCGAUUGAAUUUACCGGAUGAUGAUGAGAUCGCCCCUGCUACAAGUCUACUUCAGUGUAGAUCGAUGCGGAAAUUGUACGCCAAACGCUCGUGUGUCUGACUGUCUCGUAGUACUGCGCUUGAUAUAUCAACCAAAGCCAUGCAGCGUGGAGAAACGUUUUCACGGCCGGUUUCGUUGCAACAGGUGUCGGCUUGCAAUUACUUUCCACUCUCGAGUGGUUGUUUUGCUCUGUCGGGUCUUGUCCAGCUGCCGGAUUUCCGUGGCGCUCUCCACGAGGGUUGUUUCGAAAUGGCCUGUGCUUUCAGUCCACCGCCGGGGUCCAUCAUCGCUGUUACCGUGGAAAACUCAGUGUGCUUCAGGCGACCGCCCGUUUCAAUUGGAAUGGUUUCAACAUCGUUCCAAAUCGGCUGUAUGCUCAUCCAUGGAAUAUCGACGCAUCGACCUGAUUCUUGGCUUACCGAUUCGGAGUUGUGCUGGCCUUCGUGCUGUAUCAGGAAAACGUGGUUUCGCUUAUCGUUCCAUUGUCGUACGCCGUUCCGGUCCGUGUUCAAGCUAUCGCCUACUAUCCGGCUUGUUCAGUUCAUGGUGUUCCGGGAUUUGUCUCCUCGCUGGUUUCUUGUCCUACGCGUUUGUUGGCGGCAGCAGACUGUUGUUUCCGUGAUUCGGAAUUCCCUUUCGGGGGUUUUCCAUCGACGCGGCAAGCAAUUUCUCUUCCCCUCUUUCGCGCAAGCAAGUUGUUGGCGUUGCAGUUCAUACUCUCGGGCGGCAUGUUUCCUGCAGCAAAACCGGUUGGCGGUACGUCUUGCGCGGUUUUACCAGACGACGUUUUUACGACAUGGAAAGGCGAUACCGAUCGGCCAUGACGGGACUGCUCGACGUGAAGGAUAUUUCGGCGCCAGAGGUGAAAUUCUUAGACCGCCGAAGGAUCAACGGCGGCGAAGGCGCUCUGCAAGUGCAUGUUCAUCGAUCAAGGACGAGAGUGUGGGGAGCAAAGAUGAUCAGACACCGUCGUAGUCCACAACUGUAAACCAUGCCAGCUCGAUGUCGGAAACGCAAGUCAUCCGAGACGUUUUCUGCGUCACGCCCCCUGCAACGAGAAAUCCAAGCCUACGGGUUCCGGGGGGAGUACAUUCGCAAGGCCGAAACUUAAAGGAAUUGACGGAAUGGCACCACCAGGCGUGGAAUAUGCGGCUUAAUUUGACUCAACACGGGGAAUCUUACCAGGUCAGGACAUUGUUCGGAUUGACAGACCGAUUAGCUCUUUCUUGAUUCUGUGGAUGGUGGUGCAUGGCCGCUCCUGAUUGGUGGAUUGAUUUGUCUGGCUGAUUCCGAUAACGAGUGAGAUAUCUACCUUCCAGUACGCCCCGACCUCGCAAUUGUAGGGAACUUGAUACCGGUGUUUCCAUGUCCCGUUUUCGCCUGCUGCGUUGGAUUAGCUCUUCGUUGUUGUCGGUUUCGUUCGUGACUAACUGGCCGUUGUCGUUUCUCUUGCUCUUUCCUUUCGGGGUUUUUGCAAGAAGCGGGUACGGAAAAGUGGGCGCGUUCGUUGUCCGGGUGCAGCGUUUUGUGCGACGUCUGGCGUUGUUGGUUUGUAAGCGGGGUUUCUUGGCGCCGGUUAUCACCCGAGAGGUCUUACGUCAGAUCUUCGUGUUCUUUCUGUGGAAUUUCAUUUCGCUUCUCUGAGGUGCUGCGUACGCUACCAAGUACGUCGUAUGCUAGAGCCAACAGCAGGUCUGUGAUGCUCCCAGAUGUCCUGGACCGCACGCGCAUUACACUGGAUCGGUGAAUGUGUACCAUGCAACCAUUCGUUCGGCGGCGCUUUCCGGUUUGUUUCGACAGGCCGGCGACGCUGUUUUCCGCGGCGAGUGGAUUUGCCCUUGCUAGAAAGUGGUUCGGAAACCAUGGGAAACCGCCUGUGUUUGAAAGCGUCUUUCCGGUUUGUUUAACUCCUCGCGGGUUUCAACCGGAAACGACUCGUCCGUGUUCGGGAUUGAUGCUUGCAACUGUCUGCCAUGAACGAGGAAUGCCUAGUAUGCGCGAGUCAUCAGC